RNAcentral lists this ribosomal RNA (2923 nucleotides) under Klebsiella pneumoniae. Its description in RNAcentral is "23S ribosomal RNA". It matches the Rfam family "Bacterial large subunit ribosomal RNA". Lineage: Bacteria; Pseudomonadati; Pseudomonadota; Gammaproteobacteria; Enterobacterales; Enterobacteriaceae. The record is from RNAcentral.
GGGUUGUGAGGUUAAGCGACUAAGCGUACACGGUGGAUGCCCUGGCAGUCAGAGGCGAUGAAGGACGUGCUAAUCUGCGAAAAGCGUCGGUAAGGUGAUAUGAACCGUUAUAACCGGCGAUGUCCGAAUGGGGAAACCCAGUGCAAUUCGUUGCACUAUCGUUAACUGAAUACAUAGGUUAACGAGGCGAACCGGGGGAACUGAAACAUCUAAGUACCCCGAGGAAAAGAAAUCAACCGAGAUUCCCCCAGUAGCGGCGAGCGAACGGGGAGCAGCCCAGAGUCUGAAUCAGCUUGUGUGUUAGUGGAACGGUCUGGAAAGUCCGACGGUACAGGGUGAUAGUCCCGUACACCAAAAUGCACAGGUUGUGAACUCGAAGAGUAGGGCGGGACACGUGGUAUCCUGUCUGAAUAUGGGGGGACCAUCCUCCAAGGCUAAAUACUCCUGACUGACCGAUAGUGAACCAGUACCGUGAGGGAAAGGCGAAAAGAACCCCGGCGAGGGGAGUGAAAAAGAACCUGAAACCGUGUACGUACAAGCAGUGGGAGCACCUUCGGGUGUGACUGCGUACCUUUUGUAUAAUGGGUCAGCGACUUAUAUUCUGUAGCAAGGUUAACCGUAUAGGGGAGCCGCAGGGAAACCGAGUCUUAACUGGGCGUUAAGUUGCAGGGUAUAGACCCGAAACCCGGUGAUCUAGCCAUGGGCAGGUUGAAGGUUGGGUAACACUAACUGGAGGACCGAACCGACUAAUGUUGAAAAAUUAGCGGAUGACUUGUGGCUGGGGGUGAAAGGCCAAUCAAACCGGGAGAUAGCUGGUUCUCCCCGAAAGCUAUUUAGGUAGCGCCUCGUGAAUUCAUCUUCGGGGGUAGAGCACUGUUUCGGCUAGGGGGUCAUCCCGACUUACCAACCCGAUGCAAACUACGAAUACCGAAGAAUGUUAUCACGGGAGACACACGGCGGGUGCUAACGUCCGUCGUGAAGAGGGAAACAACCCAGACCGCCAGCUAAGGUCCCAAAGUCAUGGUUAAGUGGGAAACGAUGUGGGAAGGCACAGACAGCCAGGAUGUUGGCUUAGAAGCAGCCAUCAUUUAAAGAAAGCGUAAUAGCUCACUGGUCGAGUCGGCCUGCGCGGAAGAUGUAACGGGGCUAAACCAUGCACCGAAGCUGCGGCAGCGACACUAUGUGUUGUUGGGUAGGGGAGCGUUCUGUAAGCCUGCGAAGGUGUGCUGUGAGGCAUGCUGGAGGUAUCAGAAGUGCGAAUGCUGACAUAAGUAACGAUAAAGCGGGUGAAAAGCCCGCUCGCCGGAAGACCAAGGGUUCCUGUCCAACGUUAAUCGGGGCAGGGUGAGUCGACCCCUAAGGCGAGGCCGAAAGGCGUAGUCGAUGGGAAACAGGUUAAUAUUCCUGUACUUGGUGUUACUGCGAAGGGGGGACGGAGAAGGCUAUGUUAGCCGGGCGACGGUUGUCCCGGUUUAAGCAUGUAGGCUGAUUGUCCAGGCAAAUCCGGAUAAUCAAGGCUGAGGUGUGAUGACGAGGCACUACGGUGCUGAAGUAACAAAUGCCCUGCUUCCAGGAAAAGCCUCUAAGCAUCAGGUAACAUUAAAUCGUACCCCAAACCGACACAGGUGGUCAGGUAGAGAAUACCAAGGCGCUUGAGAGAACUCGGGUGAAGGAACUAGGCAAAAUGGUGCCGUAACUUCGGGAGAAGGCACGCUGGUGUGUAGGUGAAGCCCCUGCGGGUGGAGCUGAGACCAGUCGAAGAUACCAGCUGGCUGCAACUGUUUAUUAAAAACACAGCACUGUGCAAACACGAAAGUGGACGUAUACGGUGUGACGCCUGCCCGGUGCCGGAAGGUUAAUUGAUGGGGUUAUCCGUAAGGAGAAGCUCUUGAUCGAAGCCCCGGUAAACGGCGGCCGUAACUAUAACGGUCCUAAGGUAGCGAAAUUCCUUGUCGGGUAAGUUCCGACCUGCACGAAUGGCGUAAUGAUGGCCAGGCUGUCUCCACCCGAGACUCAGUGAAAUUGAACUCGCUGUGAAGAUGCAGUGUACCCGCGGCAAGACGGAAAGACCCCGUGAACCUUUACUAUAGCUUGACACUGAACAUUGAGCCUUGAUGUGUAGGAUAGGUGGGAGGCUUUGAAGCGUGGACGCCAGUCUGCGUGGAGCCAACCUUGAAAUACCACCCUUUAAUGUUUGAUGUUCUAACGUUGGCCCCUUACCGGGGUUGCGGACAGUGUCUGGUGGGUAGUUUGACUGGGGCGGUCUCCUCCCAAAGCGUAACGGAGGAGCACGAAGGUUAGCUAAUCCUGGUCGGACAUCAGGAGGUUAGUGCAAUGGCAUAAGCUAGCUUGACUGCGAGCGUGACGGCGCGAGCAGGUGCGAAAGCAGGUCAUAGUGAUCCGGUGGUUCUGAAUGGAAGGGCCAUCGCUCAACGGAUAAAAGGUACUCCGGGGAUAACAGGCUGAUACCGCCCAAGAGUUCAUAUCGACGGCGGUGUUUGGCACCUCGAUGUCGGCUCAUCACAUCCUGGGGCUGAAGUAGGUCCCAAGGGUAUGGCUGUUCGCCAUUUAAAGUGGUACGCGAGCUGGGUUUAGAACGUCGUGAGACAGUUCGGUCCCUAUCUGCCGUGGGCGCUGGAGAAUUGAGGGGGGCUGCUCCUAGUACGAGAGGACCGGAGUGGACGCAUCACUGGUGUUCGGGUUGUCAUGCCAAUGGCACUGCCCGGUAGCUAAAUGCGGAAGAGAUAAGUGCUGAAAGCAUCUAAGCACGAAACUUGCCCCGAGAUGAGUUCUCCCUGAGACUUUAAGUCUCCUGAAGGAACGUUGAAGACGACGACGUUGAUAGGCCGGGUGUGUAAGCGCAGCGAUGCGUUGAGCUAACCGGUACUAAUGAACCGUGAGGCUUAACCUUACAACGCCGAAG